This 1436-nucleotide ribosomal RNA is filed under the name Lactiplantibacillus plantarum. Its description in RNAcentral is "bacterial SSU rRNA". It matches the Rfam family "Bacterial small subunit ribosomal RNA". The record is from RNAcentral. Lineage: Bacteria; Bacillati; Bacillota; Bacilli; Lactobacillales; Lactobacillaceae.
UAAUACAUGCAAGUCGAACGAACUCUGGUAUUGAUUGGUGCUUGCAUCAUGAUUUACAUUUGAGUGAGUGGCGAACUGGUGAGUAACACGUGGGAAACCUGCCCAGAAGCGGGGGAUAACACCUGGAAACAGAUGCUAAUACCGCAUAACAACUUGGACCGCAUGGUCCGAGUUUGAAAGAUGGCUUCGGCUAUCACUUUUGGAUGGUCCCGCGGCGUAUUAGCUAGAUGGUGGGGUAACGGCUCACCAUGGCAAUGAUACGUAGCCGACCUGAGAGGGUAAUCGGCCACAUUGGGACUGAGACACGGCCCAAACUCCUACGGGAGGCAGCAGUAGGGAAUCUUCCACAAUGGACGAAAGUCUGAUGGAGCAACGCCGCGUGAGUGAAGAAGGGUUUCGGCUCGUAAAACUCUGUUGUUAAAGAAGAACAUAUCUGAGAGUAACUGUUCAGGUAUUGACGGUAUUUAACCAGAAAGCCACGGCUAACUACGUGCCAGCAGCCGCGGUAAUACGUAGGUGGCAAGCGUUGUCCGGAUUUAUUGGGCGUAAAGCGAGCGCAGGCGGUUUUUUAAGUCUGAUGUGAAAGCCUUCGGCUCAACCGAAGAAGUGCAUCGGAAACUGGGAAACUUGAGUGCAGAAGAGGACAGUGGAACUCCAUGUGUAGCGGUGAAAUGCGUAGAUAUAUGGAAGAACACCAGUGGCGAAGGCGGCUGUCUGGUCUGUAACUGACGCUGAGGCUCGAAAGUAUGGGUAGCAAACAGGAUUAGAUACCCUGGUAGUCCAUACCGUAAACGAUGAAUGCUAAGUGUUGGAGGGUUUCCGCCCUUCAGUGCUGCAGCUAACGCAUUAAGCAUUCCGCCUGGGGAGUACGGCCGCAAGGCUGAAACUCAAAGGAAUUGACGGGGGCCCGCACAAGCGGUGGAGCAUGUGGUUUAAUUCGAAGCUACGCGAAGAACCUUACCAGGUCUUGACAUACUAUGCAAAUCUAAGAGAUUAGACGUUCCCUUCGGGGACAUGGAUACAGGUGGUGCAUGGUUGUCGUCAGCUCGUGUCGUGAGAUGUUGGGUUAAGUCCCGCAACGAGCGCAACCCUUAUUAUCAGUUGCCAGCAUUAAGUUGGGCACUCUGGUGAGACUGCCGGUGACAAACCGGAGGAAGGUGGGGAUGACGUCAAAUCAUCAUGCCCCUUAUGACCUGGGCUACACACGUGCUACAAUGGAUGGUACAACGAGUUGCGAACUCGCGAGAGUAAGCUAAUCUCUUAAAGCCAUUCUCAGUUCGGAUUGUAGGCUGCAACUCGCCUACAUGAAGUCGGAAUCGCUAGUAAUCGCGGAUCAGCAUGCCGCGGUGAAUACGUUCCCGGGCCUUGUACACACCGCCCGUCACACCAUGAGAGUUUGUAACACCCAAAGUCGGUGGGGUAACCUUUUAGGAACC